RNAcentral lists this ribosomal RNA (729 nucleotides) under uncultured bacterium. Its description in RNAcentral is "bacterial SSU rRNA". It matches the Rfam family "Bacterial small subunit ribosomal RNA", at positions 1 to 719 of the family's 1533-position model. The record is from RNAcentral.
UAGAGUUUGAUCCUGGCUCAGGACGAACGCUGGCGGCGUGCCUAAUACAUGCAAGUAGAACGCUGAAAGUCGGUGCUUGCACCGACUGGAUGAGUUGCGAACGGGUGAGUAACACGUGGGGAACCUACCUCUUAGCGGGGGAUAACACAUAGAAAUGUGUGCUAAUACCGCAUAAUUGCUUUUGUCGCAUGGCGAGAGUAUGAAAGGCGCAAUUGCGUCACUAAGAGAUGGCCCCGCGGUGCAUUAGCUAGUUGGUGAGGUAAUGGCUCACCAAGGCUGCGAUGCAUAGCCGACCUGAGAGGGUGAUCGGCCACAUUGGGACUGAGACACGGCCCAAACUCCUACGGGAGGCAGCAGUAGGGAAUCUUCGGCAAUGGACGGAAGUCUGACCGAGCAACGCCGCGUGAGUGAAGAAGGUUUUCGGAUCGUAAAACUCUGUUGAUAGAGAAGAACGUGCGUGAGAGUGGAAAGUUCAUGCAGUGACGGUAUCUAUCCAGAAAGGGACGGCUAACUACGUGCCAGCAGCCGCGGUAAUACGUAGGUCCCAAGCGUUGUCCGGAUUUAUUGGGCGUAAAGCGAGCGCAGGCGGUUUGAUAAGUUGGAUGUCAAAGGCAAUGGCUCAACCAUUGUACGCAUCCAAAACUGUCAGACUUGAGUGCGGGAGAGGAGAGUGAAAUUCCAUGUGUAGCGUGAAAUGCGUAGAUAUAUGGAGGAAACACCAGUGGCGAA